CCUACGGGUGGCAGCAGUGGGGGAUAUUGGGCAAUGGGGGAAACUCUGACCCAGCAACGCCGCGUGAGUGAAGAAGUAUCUCGGUUUGUAAAGCUCUAUCAGCAGGGACGAAGAAAUGACGGUACCUGAGUAAGAAGCCCCGGCUAACUACGUGCCAGCAGCCGCGGAAAUACGUAGGGGGCAAGCGUUAUCCGGAAGUACUGGGGGUAAAGGGAGCGUAGCCGGUGAUGUAAGUCUGGAGUGAAAGCCGGGGGCCCAACCCCCGGACUGCUUUGGAAACUAUGUGACUGGAGUGCAGGAGAGGUGAGCGGAAUUCCUAGUGUAGCGGUGAAAUGCGUAGAUAUUAGGAGGAACACCAGAGGCGAAGGCGGCUCACUGGACUGUAACUGACGUUGAGGCUCGAAAGCGUGGGGAGCAAACAGGAUUAGAUACCCGAGUAGUC
RNAcentral lists this ribosomal RNA (442 nucleotides) under uncultured bacterium. Its description in RNAcentral is "partial 16S ribosomal RNA". It matches the Rfam family "Bacterial small subunit ribosomal RNA", at positions 338 to 795 of the family's 1533-position model. The record is from RNAcentral.